AUCCAGCUGACGAGUCCUGAAUAGGACGAAAAGUAUUUCCAAUAU
Molecule: non-coding RNA, 45 nt
Filed under: Schistosoma curassoni
Lineage: Eukaryota; Metazoa; Platyhelminthes; Trematoda; Strigeidida; Schistosomatidae
Source: RNAcentral